CAAUAGCGUAUAUUAAAGUUGUUGCAGUUAAAAAGCUCGUAGUUGGAUUUCUGGUCGGAAGCUCCUGUCCUCUGAUGAGCGUACAAGUGCGUCCUACCAUCCUUCUGUUAACCUUUAAGGCUUUCGCGGCUUUCUAGGGGCUCAGAUAUUUUACCUUGAGAAAAUUAGAGUGUUUCAGGCAGGCUAGCGCCGGAAUACAUUGGCAUGGAAUAAUGGAAUAGGACUUUUGCCUCUUCUGUUGGUCAUGAGGCUCGAGUAAUGAUUAAUAGGGAUAGUUGGGGGCAUUAGUACUUAACUGUCAGAGGUGAAAUUCUCGGAUUUGUUAAAGACUAACUUAUGCGAAAGCAUUUGCCAAGGAUGUUUUCAUUAA
RNAcentral lists this ribosomal RNA (370 nucleotides) under uncultured eukaryote. RNAcentral describes it as "partial 18S ribosomal RNA". It matches the Rfam family "Eukaryotic small subunit ribosomal RNA", at positions 592 to 976 of the family's 1831-position model. The record is from RNAcentral.